RNAcentral lists this ribosomal RNA (338 nucleotides) under uncultured bacterium. RNAcentral's name for it is "bacterial SSU rRNA". It matches the Rfam family "Bacterial small subunit ribosomal RNA", at positions 771 to 1101 of the family's 1533-position model. The record is from RNAcentral.
AGCGAAUAGAUACCCGGGUAGUCCUAGCCCUAAACGAUGAAUGCUUGGUGUGGCGGGUAUCGAUCCCUGCCGUGCCGAAAAGCUAACGCAUUAAGCAUUCCGCCUGGGGAGUACGGUCGCAAGGCUGAAACUCAAAGGGAAUUGACGGGGGCCCGCACAAGCGGUGGAGCAAUGUGGUUUCAAUUACGACGACAACCGCGAAGAACCUUACCUGGGCUCGAAAUAGCAGAUGACAACCGAUGAAAGUCGGCUCCCGCAAGGGCGUCUGUAUAGGUGCUGCAUGGCUGUCGUCAGCUCGUGUCGUGAGAUGUUGGGUUUAAGUCCCGCAACGAGCGCAA